RNAcentral lists this ribosomal RNA (539 nucleotides) under uncultured bacterium. RNAcentral's name for it is "bacterial SSU rRNA". It matches the Rfam family "Bacterial small subunit ribosomal RNA", at positions 8 to 526 of the family's 1533-position model. The record is from RNAcentral.
AGAGUUUGAUCAUGGCUCAGAGCGAACGUUAGCGGCGGGCCUAACACAUGCAAGUCGCGCGAGAAAGGCCUUCGGGCCGAGUAAAGCGGCGCACGGGUGCGUAACACGUAGGUAAUCUGCCCUCGAGCGGGGGAUAACUUUCCGAAAGGGAAGCUAAUACCGCAUGAGACCACGCUUGCUACGGCAGGUGAGGGAAAAGACGGCCAAUCCAUGGAAGCUGUCACUCGAGGAUGAGCCUGCGGCCCAUCAGCUAGUUGGUGAGGUAAUGGCUCACCAAGGCUAAGACGGGUAGCUGGUCUGAGAGGAUGAUCAGCCACACUGGCACUGAAACACGGGCCAGACUCCUACGGGAGGCAGCAGUGGGGAAUAUUGGACAAGGGGCGCAAGCCUGAUCCAGCCACGCCGCGUGAGUGAUGAAGGCCUUCGGGUUGUAAAGCUCUGUGGGGAGGGACGAAAACGGUUGGGAACAAUACCCCAGCCCUUGACGGUACCUCUUUAGCAAGCACCGGCUAACUCUGUGCCAGCCGCCGCGGUAAUAC